CUGUGCAAAGGUAGCAUAAUCAUUAGUUUUUUGAUUGAGAGCUGGAAUGAAGGGUUUGAUGAGAAAAAUACUGUCUCAUUAUUAAGUUUAGAAUUUUAUUUUUAAGUUAAAAAGCUUAAAUGGAAUAAAAAGACGAGAAGACCCUAUAGAGUUUAAUAUUUUUAGUUUUAUCUUAUUUAGUUUUAAUAUGUGGUGAGUUGAGUAAGUAUUUUAUUGGGGUGAUAUAAAAAUUUAAUUAACUUUUUAUUUAUUAUUACAUUAUUUUAUGGUUAUUAGAUCCUUUAUUUAGGAUUAUAAGAAGAAAUUACCUUAGGGAUAACAGCGUAAUUAUUUUUGAGAGUUCUAAUCGAAAAAAUAGAUUGCGACCUCGAUGUUGGAUUAAAAUAAAGUUUUGGUGUAGGAGCUAAAAUUUUAAGUCUGUUCGACUUUUAAAAUU
RNAcentral lists this ribosomal RNA (436 nucleotides) under Eobia magna. RNAcentral's name for it is "partial 16S ribosomal RNA". The stretch from base 315 to 436 matches the Rfam family "Bacterial large subunit ribosomal RNA", at positions 2473 to 2595 of the family's 2925-position model. The record is from RNAcentral. Lineage: Eukaryota; Metazoa; Arthropoda; Insecta; Coleoptera; Oedemeridae.